Molecule: ribosomal RNA, 497 nt
Filed under: uncultured bacterium
Lineage: Bacteria
Description: partial 16S ribosomal RNA
Rfam family: Bacterial small subunit ribosomal RNA
Source: RNAcentral
GAUGAACGCUGGCGGCGUGCCUAAUACAUGCAAGUCGAGCGAACGGACGAGAAGCUUGCUUCUCUGAUGUUAGCGGCGGACGGGUGAGUAACACGUGGAUAACCUACCUAUAAGACUGGGAUAACUUCGGGAAACCGUAGCUAAUACCGGAUAAUAUUUUGAACCGCAUGGUUCAAAAGUGAAAGACGGUCUUGCUGUCACUUAUAGAUGGAUCCGCGCUGCAUUAGCUAGUUGGUAAGGUAACGGCUUACCAAGGCAACGAUGCAUAGCCGACCUGAGAGGGGGAUCGGCCACACUGGAACUGAGACACGGUCCAGACUCCGACGGGAGGCAGCAGUAGGGAAUCUUCCGCAAUGGGCGAAAGCCUGACGGAGCAACGCCGCGUGAGUGAUGAAGGUCUUCGGAUCGUAAAACUCUGUUAUUAGGGAAGAACAUAUGUGUAAGUAACUGUGCACAUCUUGACGGUACCUAAUCAGAAAGCCACGGCUAACUACGUG